GUAGGUGGCAAGCGUUGUCCGGAAUUAUUGGGCGUAAAGCGCGCGCAGGCGGGUUCUUUAAGUCUGAUGUGAAAGCCCACGGGCCCAACCGUGGAGGGUCAUUGGAAACUGGAGAACUUGAGUACAGAAGAGGAAAGCGGAAUUCCACGUGUAGCGGUGAAAUGCGUAGAGAUGUGGAGGAACACCAGUGGCGAAGGCGGCUUUCUGGUCUGUAACUGACGCUGAGGCGCGAAAGCGUGGGGAGCAAACAGGAUUAGAUACCCCGGUAGUCCACGCCGUAAACGAUGAGUGCUAAGUGUUAGGGGGUUUCCGCCCCUUAGUGCUGCAGCUAACGCAUUAAGCACUCCGCCUGGGGAGUACGGCCGCAAAGGCUG
This 374-nucleotide ribosomal RNA is filed under the name uncultured organism. RNAcentral's name for it is "partial 16S ribosomal RNA". It matches the Rfam family "Bacterial small subunit ribosomal RNA", at positions 527 to 896 of the family's 1533-position model. The record is from RNAcentral.